AAGAACAGGGUGAUGAAAUCAAAAUUCAGGAGCCCACUUGAAGAACAAGUGAUGAAAUUGAAAUCAGAAACCCGCUUGAAGAACAGGGUGAUGAAAUCGAAAGUCAGAAGCCCGCGUAAAGAACAGGAUGAUGAAAUCAAAAUUAAGAGCCCAUCUGAAGAACAGGGUGAUGUAAUCGAAAUCAGGAGCCUGCCUGAAGAACAGGGUAAUGAAAUAGAAAUUCAAAGCCCGCCUGAAGAACAGGGUGAUGAAAUAGAAAGUCAGGAGCCCUUCCGAAGAACAAGGUAAUGAAAUCAAAAGUCUUGAGCCCGCUUGAAGAACAAGGUGAUGAAAUCAAAAGUUAGGAUCCCG
Molecule: long non-coding RNA, 351 nt
Filed under: Capsicum annuum
Lineage: Eukaryota; Viridiplantae; Streptophyta; Magnoliopsida; Solanales; Solanaceae
Description: long non-coding RNA (CANN_LNC001672)
Source: RNAcentral